RNAcentral lists this ribosomal RNA (506 nucleotides) under uncultured bacterium. RNAcentral describes it as "partial 16S ribosomal RNA". It matches the Rfam family "Bacterial small subunit ribosomal RNA", at positions 29 to 523 of the family's 1533-position model. The record is from RNAcentral.
AGUGAACGCUGGCGGUAGGCCUAACACAUGCAAGUCGAACGGCAGCACAGGAGAGCUUGCUCUCUGGGUGGCGAGUGGCGGACGGGUGAGGAAUACAUCGGAAUCUACUCUGUCGUGGGGGAUAACGUAGGGAAACUUACGCUAAUACCGCAUACGACCUACGGGUGAAAGCAGGGGACCUUCGGGCCUUGCGCGAUUGAAUGAGCCGAUGUCGGAUUAGCUAGUUGGCGGGGUAAAGGCCCACUAAGGCGACGAUCCGUAGCUGGUCUGAGAGGAUGAUCAGCCACACUGGAACUGCGACACGGUCCAGACUCCUACGGGAGGCAGCAGUGGGGAAUAUUGGACAAUGGGCGCAAGCCUGAUCCAGCCAUACCGCGUGGGUGAAGAAGGCCUUCGGGUUGUAAAGCCCUUAUGUUGGGAAAGAAAUCCAGCUGGCUAAUACCCGGUUGGGAUGACGGUACCCAAAGAAUAAGCACCGGCUAACUUCGUGCCAUCCGCCGCCGUAA